AGUAGCAGAGGGGGCGAUCAGGGGACUGCAAGAAGAAUCCACACGUUAUGUGAGAAGAAAACUGAGCUGGGGAACAGGUGUGGCUGUGCUGGCUCAUCGGCCUGGUAACGAUGCCGUGAACCAUCAGUGGAAGAUGGGAGUCGGGUUAAGCUCUUGCUCCAAAGAACUUCCAGUCUAACAACAGAUGUCAGGGAAGAGGAAUAACAACCUGCAACUCAUACAAAUCAAUCAGAUCCAGUAUAGGCAGCAUGCAACCUGACUGAUGGAAAGGCAGCUAUUUCUGGGGCAGAACAUGCUGGCAGUUAUACACCACCAAAAUAAC
This is a long non-coding RNA of Mauremys mutica (yellowpond turtle), 322 nucleotides long. RefSeq lists it as uncharacterized. NCBI's taxonomy places the organism in Eukaryota, Metazoa, Chordata, Testudines, Geoemydidae. The transcript is spliced from 3 exons. The record is from RefSeq and is a predicted model, not a curated record.